Molecule: long non-coding RNA, 885 nt
Organism: Carassius auratus (goldfish)
Lineage: Eukaryota; Metazoa; Chordata; Actinopteri; Cypriniformes; Cyprinidae
Exons: 3
Source: RefSeq, a predicted model, not a curated record
CCAUUGACACGUGAUGGCUCAGACUUAUCAUGUGACUUUUUGGUAGAAAAGCAAACACACCUGGCUAAAUACUUCACAUUGUAGUUUUGUGUUUGAGAGGUUUUAGAUAAUCAAAGAAUUGAACGGUUUUAUCUUGACAGAGUUUAUCACCGUUAGCUCUUAGGUUUGCGUUCAUGUUUAUUAUGACCUGCGGACGCUCCACAGACAGCGACUCAUUGCGAUCAGAUUUCAGAUCCGCUGCUUGACAGAGCACAGGAAACGAGACAGAGCUUCUGCUGCUGCCACCGACUUAACACAAGAAUACUGGACACACUGGACGAAUACGGUCGCGUCCUGCCCCACUUCCCAUAAAGACAAGGGAGUUUGUGAUUGGCUCUCAUCACAGCCACACUGGUGCAGGAGUCGGGCUUUCUGAUGACCUCACACCACUCGGGAUAGUCCACUGGUAGGGAGCUGCUGUCAGGGGGAGAAAACACACUGAAUAAAUGCAGAAGAAAGUCAUACAGGUUUGGAGUGACACGAGGGUGAGUCUUUAUUUUUGGUUGAAUUCAAAUGAAAUGUUAAGAAAAAUCUAAGUAAAACUUGGUGAACUAUUAAUUUAAACAACUUUCCAGAUCAAAUUAACAGAUAAACCUAAACCAGUGGUUUCAUAAAAUUAUAAGCUUAAUAUUACUUUAUAUAAAAACGUUUAAUAUUGAAAACUUACUGUUUUAUUAAAAAGAACAUUUAAUCAUGCCAUGUGCUCUUGAUUAAACAUAACUUCUAGUGAACCCAAAAUAUUAAUUUAAAACCCAAAUGAAAAUGUCCCGUUAAUAGUAGAAACACUGUCAAAGGUUUGUCAGAAGGUGGAGCAGUACAGUAUAUUAAAUCUGCUGUUGGGUUUCA